UACGUAGGGCGCAAGCGUUGUCCGGAAUUAUUGGGCGUAAAGAGCUCGUAGGCGGUUUGUCGCGUCUGCUGUGAAAACCUAAGGCUCAACCUUGGGCUUGCAGUGGGUACGGGCAGACUAGAGUGCGGUAGGGGUGACUGGAAUUCCUGGUGUAGCGGUGGAAUGCGCAGAUAUCAGGAGGAACACCGAUGGCGAAGGCAGAUCUCUGGGCCGUAACUGACGCUGAGGAGCGAAAGCGUGGGGAGCGAACAGG
RNAcentral lists this ribosomal RNA (253 nucleotides) under uncultured bacterium. RNAcentral describes it as "partial 16S ribosomal RNA". It matches the Rfam family "Bacterial small subunit ribosomal RNA", at positions 524 to 776 of the family's 1533-position model. The record is from RNAcentral.